UUGUACAAUGGAGGUGCAAGGGCUGUUGCUGACCUUUAAAAGGCUUGUGCACGCCCAAGUACUACUCUCUUACACAUCCAUCUCACCCCUCUGUGCAUCACCGCGUGGGUCCCCCCUUUACGGGGAGGGCUCACGUCUUCACAUGAAACUUUAAUACAGUAUAGAAUGCAUUCUUUUGUUUGUUUGCGGUAACACGCAAUAAAUA
This 205-nucleotide unclassified non-coding RNA is filed under the name uncultured Russula. RNAcentral describes it as "sequence contains ITS1". Lineage: Eukaryota; Fungi; Basidiomycota; Agaricomycetes; Russulales; Russulaceae. The record is from RNAcentral.